AGCAGAUGGGGAAAAUAAAAUGACUAAGCUUCACUAUUGUGAGUCAUCAUUUUGUGAAACAACACAAUUUAUAUAAUACAGGUAAAGGAAGAAAAACUCCAUUUCCCCUAUGAAAAUUAGGUGGAAGAGAAAAGGCCUUCAAAUGUACUGAAGAAGAAACUGACUUUUUAAAAAAAUGUUAAGAAGUGUGAUUUCCUCCAGCUUCUUUCCUCUUUCUUAGGGAGCAAUGAAGCAGCCGCAUAUGGGUCAAGGGCCAUCAAAAGGGACUUCAGAGCCUUGGGAUGACAGCUGAAGUAAUUGAAUGCACAGGUCAUUUUUUCUUCUCUGCCUCCUGUAUUGGGUCACACAGUCCUCAAAUGAUUGAUUUGGAAGGAGGGAACUGGGGAAACAAUGUCCCUCCCACUAUAACCAAAGAUCAGGUUCAUGACCACGUGAAGAACCUGAACAUCCAGAAGUCUAUGAGUCCCAAUGAGAUGUAUCCCAGAGUCUUGAGGGAAUUGGCUGAUGUACUCACCAAGCCACUCUCAAUGAUAUUCGAAAAGUCAUGACAGUGAGGUGAAGUCCCUGGUGACUGGAAAAAAGGCAACAUCACAUUCGUUUUUGAGAAGGGUGAAAAAUAUGAUCCUGGGAACUACCAACCUGUCAAUCUCACCUGUGUGCCAGAAAAAAAUCAUGAAGCAGAUCCUCUUGGAAGCUAUUCUAAGGCACAUGGAAGACAGAGAUGAUACGACAGAACCAGCAUGGCUUCACCAAAGGCAAAUAUUGCUUGAACAACCUAAUGUCCUUUUAUGAUUUUGUCACUGCAUCAACAGACAAGGGAAGAACCAUUGAAGUCAUCUACCUGAACUUCAGUAAGGCCUUUGACACAGUAGCUCACAACAUCCUUCUCUCCAAACUGGAAAGCUAUGGAUUUGAUGGGUGGACUGUUUGAUGGGCAAAGAACUGGCUGCAGGGUCUAAUCCAGAGUGGUGGUUGAUAGCUCCAUGUCAGAAUGGAGAUCAGUGAUGAAUGGUGCCCCCAGGUGCUAGGAAGGAAACUCUUUAAUAUCUUCAUCAGUUACUUCAACAGAGGGUUCAUGUGCACCCUCAGCAAGUUUGUGGAUGACACAAAGGUGUGGAGAAUGGACAACACACCUGAGGGUUGGGAUGCCAUUCACAGGGAUCUAGACAGGCUUGAGCAGUGGGCCCAGAAGAACCUCAUGAGUCUUGCAUCUGGGUCAAAGCAACCUCCACUUACCAGUACAAGCUGGGGGUGAAAAGACUGAGCACACACUGACAGGUUGAGGGACGUGAUCCUGACCCUCUGCUCUGAGCUGAUGAAGUCUCACCUGGAGAAUUGCAUUCAUAUGUGGAGUCCUCAGUACAGGAGAGACAUGGAUCUGUUGGAGUGUGUCCAGAGGAGGGAUACAAAAAUGGUCCAAGAGAUAGAACACCUCUCCUGUGAGGACAGGCUGAAAGAGCUGGGCUCUUCAGCCUGGAGAAGAGAAGGCUCUGAGGCGACCUGAUAGUGAGUGGCCUUUCAAUAUCUUAAGGGGAGUUAUGCAAAAGAAGAGGACAGACUCUUUAUCAGGGUCUGUUGUGACAAUGAUAAGGGGAAAUAAUUACAAACUUAAAGAGGGUAGAUUUUAGAUUGGAUACAAGAAAAAAGUCUUUUACAUGGAGCGGGGCGGGGCACUGGAACAUGUUGCCCAGAGACCUGGUGGAUGCUCUGUCUCUGGAGGCUUUCAAGGCUAAACUUGACCGGGCUCUGAGCAACCUGAUCUAGCUAUGGGUGUCUGCUCAUUGCAGGGGAGUUGGGCUUGGUACCUUUAAAGAUUCCUUCCAUCUCUAAAGAUUUUAUAAUUCUAUGAUUCUAUAAAUCUUUCACAUCUUCAUGUAUUUGGUGCCUCAGAUAACCACCAGUUUAAUAUUGCAUGUACAGUCACUUUAGUUACCUGUUUCUCAAGUACAUCCUAUGGGACUAACAGACAGCAAUAUAACAGGAAAAAGAAGUAAAUGUUUGAAACUCCAAUGACAAGCUACUCUGCAGACCCUGGGAUGUGAUAAUACAAGUCUUUUACUUGAGUUUGUUAACAAGUUUUAUAACAUUUAAUAGUUCACUGUAACAUCACCCAGAAUUCUAUGAUACAGUUAAAACAGACUGUAUGUAACACACAGCAUUCUCUAUUAGGCUCUGCAAGUUUGUAGAGUGGAUUCUAAAGAAUUCUCAUAAAAUUGUCAUAGAUUGCCCUUUGUCGCUUUUAACUCCAUUAAAUUAAAUGUAAAUGCCCAAAAACACUCUUCCUUCAUAUCUUCAUCCCUUUCCUUUGAUGGCUUUGUUGAAUUUCAACUUCACAGAACUCUCUUCACAUCAAAAUGAGUCUCUGUGAAACAGAGCAAAAUAUCCAGAAUAUCUACUUUCCCUGACAUGCAACAGUCUAGCCACAGAAGUGACAAGUUUAAGUAUGAAGAGUCUGUGGUGAUAAGAAUGAGACAUAAAUUUUAAUAAUUCCUUUGAGAGAUGUUUCAUGUCUACAAAUGCUGGCAAGCAAAGUAAAAAUCUAUAACUUGUAAAUUUUUUAAAUUCACACUUUUGAGGGUAAGUGGGCAAUCAUACACAUGGCCCUUUGCAACUCCUGAAGGACAUCAUGGACUAUGACUAAUUAUAUGUGUAAGAAUGUUGAUAAACAAUGUCUUGAGGAAAACAGAAGCAGGAAAAGAUCUAUAGUUUUUAACUUAAAUACCAGGAAGAAAAUGACACUUGAAUCUUGCUUAUGAGUAGUUAGGGAAACAGCCAUCUUUCUUCUAUUGUCUGAUCUAAACUAAGCUAUCUAAUGCAGAUUAAAAUAAUUUAAUGAAACCUGAAAGCCCUUUCACAAGCAAAGAUGCAAACUGCUCCAGUGUCUCACCACUCUCACAGUAAAGAAUUUCCUCUUAAUAUCUAGUCUAAACCUACCCUUUUCCAGUUUUAAACCAUUUUACCUUGUCCUUUCACUACGUACUCUUAUAAAAAGUCCCUCCCCAGGUUUCCUGUAGGCCCCCUUCAGGGACAGGAAUUAAAUUUUCAUCUAUCACUCACAUUUUUCAUAAUAUUCUCUUAUGGUUUCAUUCUGAAGAAAAUGUUUUUCAAGAAAUAAACAAAUUACUUUGUUAUCAGAAGUAAGAAAGUAAUCUAGUAACUGAUUCAUGCUGCUCUUUACAUUUAUAAUCAAAAGGAAUUAAAGAGUUGGUACAGAAAGAAACUCUCUUUGAAAUUAAAAAUAGAACUAAAAUGGAAAGAAAGCACCAACAAUCUUGUUUUAAAUUGAACACCAAGUCCUGGUGGAACUGCAAGAACUGGAACCACUGUGACUAGAAAGGUCACUACGCAUAACAAAUGCACAGGCUUGCUGCAACAAGCAGCACUGUAGUUGCAGAAUUAUGUACAUACACAUACACAUACAGAAAAAAAAAAAAGGUAAAAAUAAUAUAAUUUAACUGUUAAUGUUAAGUACAACAUGAAGUUGAAAGUACUCUUUCAACUGUAUGAUUGCAUUUGGUAAUUCUGGCAUACCGCAGAUGAACAUAAUGGUGCAACACAGACAUAUUGUAGAAUCAUAGAAUGGUCUGGGUUGGAAGGGAUAUUGAGGAUCAUCAAGCUCCAAGACCCCUGCCACAGGCAGGGCCACCAGCCUCCACAUUUAAUUCUAGACCAGGCUGCCCAGGACCCCAUCCAACCUGGCCUUGAACACCUCCAGGGACAAGGCAUCCACAACCUCUCUGGGCAGCCUGUUCCAGCACCUCACCACUCUCAUAGUAAAGAACUUCCCCCAGAUAUCCAACCUAAAUCUUCCCUCCUUCAACUUAAAACCAUUUCCCCUUGUCCUGCUAUUAUCUACUCUUUCAAAGAGUUGGCUCCUCACCUGUUUAUAGGCUCCCUUUAGAUACUGAAAGGCUGCAGUGAUGUCACCCCGCAGCCUUCUCUUCUCCAGGCUGAACAGGCCCAGAUCCCUCAGUUGGUCUUCAUAGGAGUGCUGCUCCAGCCCUCCAAUCAUCUUUGUGGCCCUCCUCUGGACCCUCUCCAACAGCUUCCUGUCUUUCUUGUACAGGGGGCCCCAGACCUGGACUCAGUACUCCAGAUGGGGCCUCAUGAGGGCAGAGUAGAGAGGGACAGUCACUUCCCUGUCUCUGCUGGCCAGCCCUCCUCUAACUGAGCCCAGGAUACCAUUUGCUUUCCAAGCUGCAAGAGCAUGCUGGUGUCUCAUGUUAAGUUUUUCAACCACCAGGACCCCCGGGUCAUUCUCUUCAGGACUACUCUCAAGGGCUGCUGCUUCCAAUCUGUAUAUAUGCCUGGGAUUCCUCCAUCCCAAGUGCAAAUCCUUGCACUUUUCUGUGUUGAACCUCAUCAGAUUUACCUGGGCCCACCUUUCAAAUCUGUUGAGGUGUAUCUGAAUGGCAUCCUGUUGUUCCAUUGUGUCAACCGCACCACUCAGCUUAGUGUCAUCAGCAUAUUUAUGUUCUUAAAAAUUAAAAAGAUGUAUAUUACAUCUAUCAUCUUAAAUUUUCACACCAGUAUGGAGCUUCAAGUAGACUUCCUCCUCCUGAUUCUCUGGACAUCUUUGACGGGAGUUUUGUAUCUGCAGUUGCAUCUUCUACUUUUGAUUUUGUGAGCCAAGAAACCUCUGAUUCUGUACAGUGAUGUGCAUCUAAAGUGGAAGUGAGUCAUUAGAAAUUAACAUCUAAAAUCAGAAACAAAAUCUAAAAGAAGUAUUUUCCUUCUAUAAAUUAGCAGUAAAUUAGUGCAUCAAAGUAAACAUCCAUGUAAGUAAUCAUAUUUUUUUAAGAAGUAAAAAAAACCCUGAAUUUCAGAGCCCUGAGUUUUAUACAAAUGAAGCCACAGAUAUAUCACAUACAGCUUCUAUAGAAACUAAGAUUCCUUAUAUGAAUUUUAUGCUUUCAGAAUAUACAUGUGGUCAUUUUCAGAUUAUGUUUUCAUCCUCAAUCUCUUUAGACCUAACUGAUUUUGUAUCUCAUAUUUGCUUUGCGUUCAAAAGUGGAUUGCUCAGUCUUGUUUCUUAAGGCUGGGAUGUUCUGUGCAUUGAUGGAUAUCUUGAAAAAUCUGUAAUUGCAUGUGCUUAAAUGCUCACAAGCAGCUUUCAAAAUAAACAACAGCUGAUAAUGCAGCUCAGAGAGAAGAGGUAAGUUGAUCCCAAAUACAAGUUCACAACAGAUAAGCACAUGCUGUAUUUCUGUGUCUGAUAUACAUAUGUACAUUUGUGGACUUGUUUUUAGUGUGAAGUAAAAAAUGUAAUUUAAUAAACUGCCUGUACCCACAGAUGUUCCUCUUUCACUUUAAUAGUAUGAAGAUACUUGUGUCAGGCUAGUCAUUAAAAAUACAAGUAGUUUCUUUGUUCUUGUUGAACUACAAACUUCAUUAUGGAUUCAUUAUUUGGAAUCUUUAUUACUAGAUUAUUUACUAUAUAUAUAUAUUUACUUUAUUACUAGAUUUUGAACUUUAUUACUCAUUAUGGACCAGUGAGCACAGAAAAAGAACUCUUCUUGACCUUUCCAGCAACUCAUCCUCAAUUGCUUUCAUCUAAUUUUAUCAAUUCAAAUGAUCUUGCAUCUAUUUUAAAUGGAAUGAAUAUGCAAAAAUUUGCGAAAACAAAAGUGAUCUGCAUUUUAACGAAAUAUACUUGGUAAAUUUUGGCCAAGGAGAGAUGGAUAGCAUUCAUGCAAUGUGUAUUGCUAGGUCAUGAGAGGCAUACAUUUGAUGUCUAAAUCAAACUUACAAAGUAGAAAGGUGUUUCUCUUUACUGGAUAAUUUGAGAAAGUAGGAAAUAAGAUAAUAUUCAUCAUGGUAUGUAACAGGCUCCACUCCAGCUGGAAGUUGAGCAUCUGAGAAGAGCCUAGCCAAAUGAUAAAAUUUGAAACCAAGAGGAGAUGUUGAAGGAGUGAAAUAAAUAAGGAGGAACUUCUAUCAUUAAUUUAUCACCGAAAACAGCUAAUCUGACACACUGCAGAAAGGAAGAAGGCAUUUUUUAAAUACAAUCUGUUGUUGUUGUUAGUGUAGUACAAUACAUAAUGACAACAUCUUAGUCUAGUAUUGUUACUCUAAAUCAUUUUGGUAAUUUGUCACUGUAUGGGACUUCAUUAGGAGUCCAAAAGGAUCUUAGAAGGAAGAGCAUAAAACCCAUGUAUUUCAGGUUUUUGUGUUCAAGAAAAAAAUAGUUCAAAUACAUAACAGGAAGAAUGAUACAAAAAUAAUUAGAAAUACAACCAAAGUGAAGAAAGUGAAGUACAACCACAAGGUGGAGGAGGAAAUAAAGGAACGAGCUAACGAGGAAAAUAGCAGUAAUGUUGAACUAUAUACAAGGGUUUCUCAGAAAGUAAUGCCUCUUAUUUUGUUAUGUUGGCCCUCAAUGUGAGAGGAGGAUGUUGGUGGUAUGGCAGUAAAGGUUGAACCUUCCCUCCAGUAUUCUAUUAAAUUUUACUUUCAAAUAGCAGCAGAGGGGCAGUCUGACAAAAUGGCAUCCAACAUGAAAGUGUGCAUGAAGCAAAAGUGCAUCAAUGAAUUCCUCCAUGAGGAAACAAUUGCAUGCACUGAUAUUCAUCAAUGCUUGCUGACCAGUGAUGAAGACUGAACAGUGGAUGUGAGCAUGGUGAGGCUGUGUGGUGCGUGUCAGCAACACAAAAGACAAGAGACGUUUGGGAUGGUCAUGCAGAUUUAUACUGGUGUUGCAUGCAGGCUCUUGUUCAUUGUUGAUGAAAAUGCAUAGUUAAAGGUGGUGACUAUGUUUAAAAAUUGUGUUCUGUAGCUGAGAAUCUUCUCUAUCUAAUAAUGUAGUCGUGCUAUCUGAAUCUGUUGUAGUUUCCAUGGAAAUAAACAGGAGGCAUUACGUUUGAAGCACAGUAUGUGCAUCAUUGUGAUGUAGCUACUACCAUAGUUUGCUUAAAGAGGCAAAGAAAUUUGUCCAGAGAGAAGAGAAGGAAAAACAAAUGAUAUACAUAUAUAGCCUUUUAUUGUUGUCAUAUAUAUAUAAAAGAAAGAAAAAGUCAAAAAAGACUGAAAAAGAUAAUCAAAAACAAAAACAAAAAAAAAUUCAACACUGUACUAAAAAUAGAACCCUGAUUUCAAAGGUGAAAAAAAGUGAAAGUAAACAUUUUUUGCCUGUCAUUAUUAUACACAUACAUUUAAAAUUAAUGAACCUCUUUUUAAUUUUUUCAAUAUGCUGCUAAUAUCUGUCUACUGAUUAUUUCUUGGCAGGAAACUUGGCAGGACUACAUAAUUUUUUUUAAGGUCACAGAUGAUUCAAAACAAUCAGAAAUAAAUGUAUCUUGCUAGUAGAACAUUAAGACUCUGGAAAUUAGAGGACUAUACAUUUUCUACCACUUUUUAGAUUUAUGGUAAAUAUUAGAAAAUCAUAGCAACAUAAAAUUUUGCAGUUUGAUCAUAGUGACACAACAAAGAAAUUUACUGAAGUUGAUCAAUUUAGAUACCAAAGUUAGGUUUUCCCUUGUUUUGAGUCAAUUAAUAUCCUCUCCUCUCGAACUUCCAUUUCAUGGCCAAGUACUGUAAUUUGUUAUCUAGUGCCCUCCAUGUGCUAUAGCAGUGACUCUCUACAGUGGUUAACUUCAUAAAUUCAAUUAAACUGUAAUUAAUUUUAUGCUUUGCUUGUUUAGUAGAUCUUUGGUGAAAAUAACUUAUUAUCUGAAGCUUAGAUUUAACCAUUUUUUUGUGUCAAAAUCUACUGAAGUUAGCAGGAGACACGAGUGAUCACCAAGCCUAUGGGACAGAAAAGAUAAAACAGGCUGAUUGUGUCAGUCAUGGAGAUUCCAACAGUGACUGAAAAGUCUCACUUCUGAAAAUGAUUUGCUAUGCUAUAUAUGUAUAAAGCUGAUCUGCAGGAAGUUCUAUGUGAUCAUAAUUGUUAUCUAAUUCAUUUAUCUGUUUAUUUUCAUGGAGUACUGUCAAAUGAAGGACUCUACCCUGGUUUACCUCUGUUUCUCCAUGAAGAAAAGUUAGCCUUUAUAUUCUGGCAAGACUCCAGAAGGAGUCGCAGAAUCACAGAAUGGCAUGGAUUGGAAGAGAUUUUAAAGAUCACCCAGUUCCAACCCUCCUGAGUUAGAUCUGAGUUGGAACUGCCUACCACACUAGAUUUGGAGUUGCCACCCACUAGAUCAGGCUGCUCAAGGCCCCUCACAACCUGGGCUUGAACACAUCCAGGAAUGGGGCAUCCACAGCUUCUCUGGGUGUGUCAGGGACCUAAAGGUUCUGACCAAAGAAUGAUCCUGAAUUGUAUCAAAGGAUUCUGGGAGAGAACAUAACUGGAUGGCUAUGUGACUAUGGGCCAUGGGCCGCAUGACAAUUUCAAGGGAAGCUGUAUUUGUGGCUACAGCUGUUUAUCUUGUUUUGUGGGGAGUUGACCUUGCCAGUUGAUUUUGUUUUGCAAGUGGCUGAGCUUGCUUGCAAGCAGGUGUGCUUCUUGGUCUCUGUAUCAUGUGCUGGCCAUGUGAGUGCAGCAUGCAAGUGGAAAAAACCCUGCAGUCCCUGAGAGAGAAUAAAAGCAGUGGGGACACUACGGUGCAUUGGGCAGGAUAAGUAUGCCUUGGAACAGGGGGUGCCCUGUUGCAUUUCUUAUUCAGCCCAUCACUGGCAUGUUUCCAUUUCCUCCUUCUGCCUGGUGUUUUGUCCAUCUCCAGAGGUUUGGUAAGUGAUAUUAAGCUUGCUUAAAUGAGCGUCUGUUUUAGCUUACUGGGUUUAUCUAAGCAUAUGCCUAUGUGCGUGCCAAAUAAAACUCGCAACUCUCCAAGUUGCCCUAAUGUGUGUAAUUACUUGCCUCCACUCCUAAAACUUCCUGUUUCUUGGAUCCAAAACGUACCCUGAAACACUGGGUAACUUCUUCCAGAGCCUCAGUACCCUCUGAGUGGUUCCACCAAACAUCUAAUCUAAAUCUCGUCUCUUAUAGUUUAAAACCACUCCCCCUUCUCCUAUCACUAUCAGAGCAUGUAAAAAGUCAGUCUCCCUCCUGUUUACAAACUCCAUUUAAAUACGGGAAGGCCACAGUGAAGUAUCACCAGAGUCUUCUCUUCAAGGAGUAAUCACUUUCUGCUGACUUUGGCAUGUGCUGAUUUGUGCAAGUAGAAAGGCUAAUGUCGAAGACAUUGACACUACAAAUAACUAUAUGAAUGGAGACUGAAUGGAGGCUGAAUGGAGGCUGAAUACUUCU
Gallus gallus (chicken) is the source of this 9187-nucleotide long non-coding RNA. RefSeq lists it as uncharacterized. NCBI's taxonomy places the organism in Eukaryota, Metazoa, Chordata, Aves, Galliformes, Phasianidae. The transcript has 3 exons. The record is from RefSeq and is a predicted model, not a curated record.